This 253-nucleotide ribosomal RNA is filed under the name uncultured bacterium. Its description in RNAcentral is "partial 16S ribosomal RNA". It matches the Rfam family "Bacterial small subunit ribosomal RNA", at positions 524 to 776 of the family's 1533-position model. The record is from RNAcentral.
UACGGAGGAUCCGAGCGUUAUCCGGAUUUACUGGGUUUAAAGGGUGCGUAGGUGGAAUGUCAAGUCAGUGGUGAAAACCUAUAGCUUAACUAUAGAACUGCCAUUGAUACUGUCAUUCUUGAGUGUAUUUGAUGUAAGUGGAAUGUGUCGUGUAGCGGUGAAAUGCUUAGAUAUGACACAGAACACCCAUUGCGAAGGCAGCUUACAAAACUACUACUGACACUGAGGCACGAAAGCGUGGGGAUCAAACAGG